UCCAUCGUGAGGUGGAAUCUGAAGGAAGCCGGAGGCAAAAGCACGAGCCAAGGUACACGAACUGGAUUUGAGGCAGGAGCAGUCGGAUGAGUUGCCCAUACACAACGAAAUCCAAAGCCGCCAAGGGCUAAUCCUGUAGACUCCAGUGGUUGCGGGCGGAAAGAUGACGUU
Non-coding RNA from Paenibacillus yonginensis, 171 nucleotides. NCBI's taxonomy places the organism in Bacteria, Bacillati, Bacillota, Bacilli, Caryophanales, Paenibacillaceae. The record is from Rfam.